AGAGUUUGAUCAUGGCUCAGAACGAACGCUGGCGGCAUGCCUAACACAUGCAAGUCGAACGAGACCUUCGGGUCUAGUGGCGCACGGGUGAGUAACGCGUGGGAAUCUGCCCUUGGGUUCGGAAUAACAGUUAGAAAUGACUGCUGAUACCGGAUGAUGACUUCGGUCCAAAGAUUUAUCGCCCAGGGAUGAGCCCGCGUCGGAUUAGCUAGUUGGUGAGGUAAAGGCUCACCAAGGCGACGAUCCGUAGCUGGUCUGAGAGGAUGAUCAGCCACACUGGGACUGAGACACGGCCCAGACUCCUACGGGAGGCAGCAGUGGGGAAUAUUGGACAAUGGGGGCAACCCUGAUCCAGCAAUGCCGCGUGAGUGAUGAAGGCCUUAGGGUUGUAAAGCUCUUUUACCCGGGAUGAUAAUGACAGUACCGGGAGAAUAAGCCCCGGCUAACUCCGUGCCAGCCGCCGCGGUAAUUC
RNAcentral lists this ribosomal RNA (472 nucleotides) under uncultured bacterium. Its description in RNAcentral is "bacterial SSU rRNA". It matches the Rfam family "Bacterial small subunit ribosomal RNA", at positions 8 to 526 of the family's 1533-position model. The record is from RNAcentral.